RNAcentral lists this ribosomal RNA (818 nucleotides) under uncultured bacterium. RNAcentral's name for it is "bacterial SSU rRNA". It matches the Rfam family "Bacterial small subunit ribosomal RNA", at positions 11 to 837 of the family's 1533-position model. The record is from RNAcentral.
CUUUGAUCCUGGCUCAGGAUAAACGCUGGCGGCGCACAUAAGACAUGCAAGUCGAACGAACUUAACCAUUAGUUUACUAUUGGAGCGGUUAGUGGCGGACUGGUGAGUAACACGUAAGCAACCUGCCUAUCAGAGGGGAACAACAGUUAGAAAUGACUGCUAAUACCGCAUAUGCCUUAGAAUCACAUGGUUCAAAAGGGAAAGGAGCAAUCCGCUGAUAGAUGGGCUUGCGUCUGAUUAGCUAGUUGGUGGGGUAACGGCCUACCAAGGCGACGAUCAGUAGCCGAACUGAGAGGUUGAACGGCCACAUUGGGACUGAGAUACGGCCCAGACUCCUACGGGAGGCAGCAGUCGGGAAUAUUGCGCAAUGGAGGAAACUCUGACGCAGUGACGCCGCGUGCAGGAAGAAGGUUUUCGGAUUGUAAACUGCUUUAGACAGGGAAGAACAAAGACAGUACCUGUAGAAUAAGCUCCGGCUAACUACGUGCCAGCAGCCGCGGUAAUACGUAGGGAGCGAGCGUUAUCCGGAUUUAUUGGGUGUAAAGGGUGCGUAGACGGGAAGUCAAGUUAGUUGUGAAAUCCCUCGGCUUAACUGAGGAACUGCAACUAAAACUGAUUUUCUUGAGUACUGGAGAGGAAAGUGGAAUUCCUAGUGUAGCGGUGAAAUGCGUAGAUAUUAGGAGGAACACCGGUGGCGAAGGCGACUUUCUGGACAGAAACUGACGUUGAGGCACGAAAGUGUGGGGAGCAAACAGGAUUAGAUACCCUGGUAGUCCACACCGUAAACGAUGGAUACUAGGUGUAGGGGAUAUUAAAAU